AUGGAGACAGACACACUCCUGCUAUGGGUGCUGCUGCUCUGGGUUCCAGGCUCCACUGGUGACAUUGUGCUGACACAGUCUCCUGCUUUGGCUGUGUCUCUAGGGCAGAGGGCCACAAUCUCCUGUAGGGCCAGCCAAAGUGUCAGCAUAUCUAGAUAUAAUCAUAUGCACUGGUACCAACAGAAACCAGGACAGCAACCCAAACUCCUCAUCUAUGGUGCAUCCAACCGAGCAUCUGGGAUCCCUGCCAGGUUCAGUGGCAGUGGGUCUGGGACAGACUUCACCCUCGCCAUCAAUCCUGUGCAGGCUGAUGAUAUUGCAACCUAUUACUGUCAGCAGACUAAGGAUUAUCCUCCCACAGUGCUCCAGGGCUGA
Molecule: non-coding RNA, 375 nt
Organism: Rattus rattus (black rat)
Lineage: Eukaryota; Metazoa; Chordata; Mammalia; Rodentia; Muridae
Source: the annotation of a RefSeq genome assembly